Molecule: long non-coding RNA, 1471 nt
Filed under: Malus domestica (apple)
Lineage: Eukaryota; Viridiplantae; Streptophyta; Magnoliopsida; Rosales; Rosaceae
Description: long non-coding RNA (MDOM_LNC002342)
Source: RNAcentral
UCUGGCUCUCGAGAUUCGGAGAACGAUGCCUCUUCGAUUUUUGAGAAAGCAAUCAUGCUGGGGGUCUGGCUCUCGAGAUUCGGAGAGCAGUGUCUCUUCGAUUUUUGAGAAAGUAAUCAUGUUGGAAGUCUGGCUCUCGAGAUUCGGAGGGCGGUGCCUCUUCGAUUUUGGAGCAAGCAAUCUUGUUGGGAGUGUUGUCUCGAAUGUGAGUAAAGGUUGGGCAUGUUUGCUAGUCUACCUUGCCACGAAGCACAAAGGUUGACACACAGGGACUUUCCAAUUAUCCAGCAAUGGUACUGUUCCUUUACCCUCUCUUCGAUUUUGAGAAAGUAGUCAUGUUGGGAGUCUGGCUCUCGAGAUUCGGAGGAUGGUGCCUCUUCGAUUUUGGAGCAAGCAAUCUUGUUGGGAGUGUUUUCUCGAAUGUGAGUAAAGGUUGGGCAUGUUUGCUAGUCUACCUUGCCACGAAGCACAGAGGUUGACAAACAGGGACUUUCCAAUUAUCCAACAGUGGUACUGUUCCUUUACCCUUGCGGGUAAUAAUAUGGUAGCUAGACCUUCAAAAUUUAUGUGUCUAAACUUUGUUAGUGCUGUUUCUUUGCUAUUCUUUUACCUUUCUUGGUCAGAGCGAUGUAGUGGGAGCUGCAAACUUCACGUGCUCAACUUUGGCAGAGAACUUUGGCAAAGUUAUCUGUGGUACCCAUGAACUAUUGUUGUGUGUGGGAAGUGGGUGAUUGAACAGUAAGAUUCAUGUGCUUUCUACUUCACCAGAAGUCUUCGACAGAAUGCCCAUAAUUUCUGCAAAGCUGAGUGUGCGUGUGACAGGUGCUGACAAGGCUAGAAAAGUAGGUGCCUCUUCGAUUUCUGAGAUCGGCCCUCGUGGUCUCUGAGCAGCCCAGCUUUUGAGAAAGCGAGCGCCUCCUCGAUUGAUUCGGAGAACGAUGCCUCAUCGAUUUUUGAGAAAGCAAUCAUGUUGGGGGUCUAGCUCUCGAAGAUUCGGGGAGCAGUGUCUCUUCGAUUUUUGAGAAAGUAAUCAUGUUGAGAGUCUGGCUCUCGAGAUUCGGAGGGCGGUGCCUCUUCGAUUUUGGAGCAAGCAAUCUUGUUGGGAGUGUUUUCUCGAAUGUGAGUAAAGGUUGGGCAUGUUUGCUAGUCUACCUUGCCACGAAGCACAGAGGUUGACAAACAGGGACUUUCCAAUUAUCCAGCAAUGGUACUGUUCCUUUACCCUCUCUUCGAUUUUUAAGAAAGUAGUCAUGUUGGGAGUCUGGCUCUCGAGAUUCGGAGGACGGUGCCUCUUCGAUUUUGGAGCAAGCAAUCUUAUUGGGAGUGUUUUCUCGAAUGUGAGUAAAGGUUGGGCAUGUUUGCUAGUCUACCUUGCCACGAAGCACAGAGGUUGACACACAGGGACUUUCCAAUUAUCCAGCAGUGGUACUGUUCCUUUACCCUUGUGGGUAAUAAUAUGGUAGCUAGACCU